AACACGACUCUCGGCAACGGAUAUCUCGGCUCUCGCAUCGAUGAAGAACGUAGCAAAAUGCGAUACCUGGUGUGAAUUGCAGAAUCCCGCGAACCAUCGAGUUUUUGAACGCAAGUUGCGCCCGAGGCCUCUCGGCCGAGGGCACACCUGCCUGGGCGUCACGC
This 164-nucleotide ribosomal RNA is filed under the name Spartochloa scirpoidea. RNAcentral describes it as "5.8S ribosomal RNA". It matches the Rfam family "5.8S ribosomal RNA". Rfam says of the family: 5.8S ribosomal RNA (5.8S rRNA) is a component of the large subunit of the eukaryotic ribosome. It is transcribed by RNA polymerase I as part of the 45S precursor that also contains 18S and 28S rRNA. Functionally, it is thought that 5.8S rRNA may be involved in ribosome translocation. The record is from RNAcentral. Lineage: Eukaryota; Viridiplantae; Streptophyta; Magnoliopsida; Poales; Poaceae.